CCCUUCUAUCAGGGGGUUGGACGCAGUCUGCAGGGCGCUUGCCUUGUUUUCUGCCCCGCCCUUUCUGUAUAUACCCAUGUCUUUUGCGCACUCUUUGUUUCCUCGGCGGGCUUGCCUGCCGACAGGACAACGCUUAAACCUUUUGUAAUUGCAGUCAGCGUCAGAAAAAACAUAAUAAUUA
Molecule: unclassified non-coding RNA, 181 nt
Filed under: uncultured Leptosphaeriaceae
Lineage: Eukaryota; Fungi; Ascomycota; Dothideomycetes; Pleosporales; Leptosphaeriaceae
Description: sequence contains ITS1
Source: RNAcentral